GAUGAACGCUAGCUACAGGCUUAACACAUGCAAGUCGAGGGGCAUCAGGAAGAAAGCUUGCUUUCUUUGCUGGCGACCGGCGCACGGGUGAGUAACACGUAUCCAACCUGCCCUUUACUCGGGGAUAGCCUUUCGAAAGAAAGAUUAAUACCCGAUGGCAUAAUGAUUCCGCAUGGUUUCAUUAUUAAAGGAUUCCGGUAAAGGAUGGGGAUGCGUUCCAUUAGGUUGUUGGUGAGGUAACGGCUCACCAAGCCUUCGAUGGAUAGGGGUUCUGAGAGGAAGGUCCCCCACAUUGGAACUGAGACACGGUCCAAACUCCUACGGGAGGCAGCAGUGAGGAAUAUUGGUCAAUGGGCGCUAGCCUGAACCAGCCAAGUAGCGUGAAGGAUGAAGGCUCUAUGGGUCGUAAACUUCUUUUAUAUAAGAAUAAAGUGCAGUAUGUAUACUGUUUUGUAUGUAUUAUAUGAAUAAGGAUCGGCUAACUCCGUGCCAGCAGCCGCGGUAAUACGGAGGAUCCGAGCGUUAUCCGGAUUUAUUGGGUUUAAAGGGAGCGUAGGUGGACUGGUAAGUCAGUUGUGAAAGUUUGCGGCUCAACCGUAAAAUUGCAGUUGAUACUGUCAGUCUUGAGUACAGUAGAGGUGGGCGGAAUUCGUGGUGUAGCGGUGAAGUGCUUAGAUAUCACGAAGAACUCCGAUUGCGAAGGCAGCUCACUGGACUGCAACUGACACCGAUGCUCGAAAGUGUGGGUAUCAAACAGGAUUAGAUACCCUGGUAGUCCACACAGUAGACGAUGAAUACUCGCUGUUUGCGAUAUACAGUAAGCGGCCAAGCGAAAGCAUUAAGUAUUCCACCUGGGGAGUACGCCGGCAACGGUGAAACUCAAAGGAAUUGACGGGGGCCCGCACAAGCGGAGGAACAUGUGGUUUAAUUCGAUGAUACGCGAGGAACCUUACCCGGGCUUAAAUUGCAGUGGAAUGAUGUGGAAACAUGUCAGUGAGCAAUCACCGCUGUGAAGGUGCUGCAUGGUUGUCGUCAGCUCGUGCCGUGAGGUGUCGGCUUAAGUGCCAUAACGAGCGCAACCCUUAUCUUUAGUUACUAACAGGUUAUGCUGAGGACUCUAGAGAGACUGCCGUCGUAAGAUGUGAGGAAGGUGGGGAUGACGUCAAAUCAGCACGGCCCUUACGUCCGGGGCUACACACGUGUUACAAUGGGGGGUACAGAAGGCAGCUAGCGGGUGACCGUAUGCUAAUCCCAAAAGCCUCUCUCAGUUCGGAUCGAAGUCUGCAACCCGACUUCGUGAAGCUGGAUUCGCUAGUAAUCGCGCAUCAGCCACGGCGCGGUGAAUACGUUCCCGGGCCUUGUACACACCGCCCGUCAAGCCAUGGGAGCCGGGGGUACCUGAAGUACGUAACCGCAAGGAUCGUCCUAGGGUAAAACUGG
Molecule: ribosomal RNA, 1440 nt
Filed under: uncultured organism
Description: 16S ribosomal RNA
Rfam family: Bacterial small subunit ribosomal RNA
Source: RNAcentral